AGGAACAAGGAACAAUCAAGUCAAGCAGAAACAACGGGUUCUUUAACACAUGACGAGAUUCGUACUGUAAGCAACAUUGAAGAUGAUGACAGUCUAGAAACUGAUGAAGACGUUGAUGUACCAGAAUCCAGUAAUCUAUCAGAAGAACGGGAACCUGAAAUAACCCCAAAUGAACAGGAGAAUGCAGAUCUUGAGUCAUUUACCACGGGAAAGUGCUAGUAAUUUUUGUUAUUAUGUGCUAAUGUAGUAUAAUGUGUAAUGCUAUAUAAAGUAAUAUAUCUAAUAAACUUUUUUUUAAAAUUUAAAUUUUACCUUUUUGCUGUUUCUGUUAAAAUAAAUGUGACCAUUUAAAGCUAUAAACGUCUGUAUACAGGCACAAAUGCAGGAAUAUGUUAAUCUAAUAGUUGCUCAUGAAUUGUAAUAAUUUAUCUGUUCAAUAAUAUCAUGUUUAUUUUAGAGCUUUUACAAAACACUAAAUAGAAACAAUAUAAUUGCAGCACAUGUAUAUUUGUAAUACUAUAAAUGUAGAUUUAAUUAUAGCCUUACCAAACGUUUAAUUGUUAAAAUACAUAAAUAUGUUAAUGAAAAAAUAGGAAUCAAUCAUGAUAGCUUUGAAAAUGAGUGUGAUGGUGCUAUGAUAUGAGACGAGUAUGAUGGCAUAGUGUAAUUUUCCCAUUGCUUGGGGAGAGCCACAAACUGUAUAGGAUGUAAAUGUGCAUAUUUUUCAAUUACAGGAACAGGACAUUGAGAAUCCUGGCAGUGAACCUUUUCAUUCUCUUGAUGAAUCUACACAAGAAAAGUACCUGCAAGAGGAUGACAAAGUGUAUUCGUCUCAACAACAGAAUGGCCUGCUGCUCAUGGCAUUGAAAAUGAAGCACAAGCUUACCAAGGAAGCAGUCUCUGACAUGCUGGACAUUAUUAAUCUAUUGGCUGGUAAAGACACUGUACCACAAUCUUGGUACCACUUAGAAAAACCGUUUGAAGGUUUAAAAUAUUUUGUAGAAAUACAUCAUGUUUGCAAUUUCUGUGAAUCUUACUUAGGUAAAGAAACGUACUUACUGUGAGAAAGAAUGGAUAGAGCAAAGGAGUCUGAAAGAAGGAAACUUUUUCUUUCAUUUGCCUUUACAUGCACAGAUCAAAGCAUUUUUAGAGGACCCUGAAUUGUCACAAAAGGUAGUAAGAAAUAGACAUGGCUUCCAGUCACAGACAUUCUGUGACAUAACAUUGUUUAUGCCAGCUGGUACACAGAUAGUGACCAGGCAUCCUGCAUUCCUUUUGCUAUGAAAAUGUUCUUUCAGAUCUUACACUGUAUAGAUAGGAACUCCCGUUCUCUCACCACGGCUAACUUGGUUCGAGGAACUACCGUUCCUUUCGAUUUAUGAAAAACGCCACAGGUACAAUUGUAAUAAUGUUGUAUAUAAAAGGCAGUUGUUAAAAUUCUUGUUAAAUUUUAGCCUCUGCUUAUACAUGUUUCAAACUACCAUGUGUUUUUUCUGUGCAAUGUAUUUGACCUACAAAUGUACAAUAAACAGUAAGAAAGUCUAAUGUUUUUCAUGUUGUUUUUUUAAAGCUAUUAUUUGCUUUUUUAUUUUAAUUUUUAAGUGAUAUGCAGUUAAAAUUCUAGCUCUGGCCCACAUGCAGUAUAGUAUGUAGUUUUUAACUGGCUACUAAGGUUUUUUAAUUAUUACUUUGUAAUGUAUAAUGAAAAUCCCAUAUUGCUUGGAAGAUGCCAUCACUACAUAAGUUAUUUUGAAGAUGUGAUUUACAUCAGACUUUAAUCGCAAAAGAACUUGACCAAACUCUUUGUUUCAGGGUGAGGUACAGUAUUCCACUGAGAAUUUUUAGAAUUGAUGUAUUACACAGUACAACAUGCAUGUUGUUUCUCAUACCCAGCAUAACCAGUCAGCACAAAA
Acipenser ruthenus (sterlet) is the source of this 1913-nucleotide long non-coding RNA. RefSeq lists it as uncharacterized. The record is from RefSeq and is a predicted model, not a curated record. The transcript has 3 exons. NCBI's taxonomy places the organism in Eukaryota, Metazoa, Chordata, Actinopteri, Acipenseriformes, Acipenseridae.